CGUAUCACCCAAGACAACUUUACGGAGUUGACGAUUGACGGAGCGAAGCGACGUCAAAGCGUUCAUUAAAGUCGAGUUGGCUUAGGGAUACGUUCGUUGGGUAGGGGAGCGUUCUGUAAGCCUGUGAAGGUGUGUCGUGAGGCAUGCUGGAGGUAUCAGAAGUGCGAAUGCUGACAUAAGUAACGAUAAAGCGGGUGAAAAGCCCGCUCGCCGGAAGACCAAGGGUUCCUGUCCAACGUUAAUCGGGGCAGGGUGAGUCGACCCCUAAGGCGAGGCCGAAAGGCGUAGUCGAUGGGAAACGGGUUAAUAUUCCCGUACUUGGUGUUACUGCGAAGGGGGGACGGAGAAGGCUAUGUUGGCCGGGCGACGGUUGUCCCGAUUUAAGCGUGUAGGUGUGUGUUCCAGGUAAAUCCGGUUCACUUUAACACUGAGGCGUGACGACGAGGCACUACGGUGCUGAAGCAAC
RNAcentral lists this ribosomal RNA (466 nucleotides) under Salmonella enterica subsp. enterica. Its description in RNAcentral is "partial 23S ribosomal RNA". It matches the Rfam family "Bacterial large subunit ribosomal RNA", at positions 1154 to 1594 of the family's 2925-position model. Lineage: Bacteria; Pseudomonadati; Pseudomonadota; Gammaproteobacteria; Enterobacterales; Enterobacteriaceae. The record is from RNAcentral.